This 169-nucleotide ribosomal RNA is filed under the name Tulasnella violea. RNAcentral describes it as "5.8S ribosomal RNA". It matches the Rfam family "5.8S ribosomal RNA". From Rfam's summary of the family: 5.8S ribosomal RNA (5.8S rRNA) is a component of the large subunit of the eukaryotic ribosome. Lineage: Eukaryota; Fungi; Basidiomycota; Agaricomycetes; Cantharellales; Tulasnellaceae. The record is from RNAcentral.
UUACAACCAGCAGCGUUGGAUCCCUUGGCAUGUCAUUCGAUGAAGACCGUUGCAAAAUGCGAUAAGUGGUGUGAUAUGCAAGUCCAAAACUUAUACGUGAACCAUCGAAUUGUUGAACGCACUGCAUCGAGCCUUACCCAGGAACGAUACGCCCCAUUGAGCGUCAUUA